GCAAAGAUUUGGGAUCCCUGGUGAUCUGGGGAGGGCAGGGAGGCAGGAGGGAGGAGUUCAUCAAAGAGUGGAGCGACAGUGGGGCCCCUGGGGCGGGGGGGGGGGGGGGGGGGGCGCGGGCGCGGGCGGGCCCUGAGGACUUUAUCCAAGUCACAAACCCUCUCCUAGAAAGAUAAGGCCCCAUUUGGCAGCCAGGUCAAGGGGGGAGGCCUUGGGACCCCCGAUGCCCGCCUUGAACCCUGUCCUGGUUAAGAGCCCUGCUUCCGUGGCUCUCUCUAAACCCCUCCAGGCGCUGGGGGUCCCGGGCCGAGUCAGCAGCUCCGGGGAUGUUGUGCUGAGCUCCGUGGCUGUGGACGCCCAGGUGCUGGUCGCCGUGAACAAUAGCACGCUGCGGGGGGUGCUCAUCCUCAAGACGACCGAGAGCCGGAGGCAGGUGGAUGUGUUGCUCACACACAGCCUGCCCCGACCCGGCCCCUUGGGCCUCCCAGCCCGGGUCCUGCUGGAGCUGGCCACCGAGAGCCACGGGCGCAGCUACCGACGCACCCUGCGGGCCGGAGUGGAUGGCAGACAGGUGAGGGGCUCUGCGGGCGGGGCCCCGGGGAGCCGGGGGUAGUGGGGACAGCCCAGCCCAGCGGUCCGGGUCUCACAGUCGUCCACACUGACAGGUGUCUGAGGAGCUGACGUUCACUCGGCAGCCAGAACACAUGUCCCUGGACUACACGCUCCAGCACAACAUCCCCACGCUGCGGACGCUGUGGGUGGAGGACAGUCUGAGCCUGCAGGUCAGCCCUGGCGAGCCCCCGUGGUAAUAGAAACCCACGCACGCACGCAUGCAUUCAUUCAGCAGACGUUCUUGGAAGUACGGCGGAGACAAGGGGGUGGUGGAGG
This 888-nucleotide long non-coding RNA is filed under the name Canis lupus familiaris (dog). RNAcentral describes it as "lncRNA (ENSCAFG00000056723.1)". Lineage: Eukaryota; Metazoa; Chordata; Mammalia; Carnivora; Canidae. The record is from RNAcentral.